ACAGAUGGGAGCUUGCUCCCUGAUGUUAGCGGCGGACGGGUGAGUAACACGUGGGUAACCUGCCUGUAAGACUGGGAUAACUCCGGGAAACCGGGGCUAAUACCGGAUGCUUGUUUGAACCGCAUGGUUCAAACAUAAAAGGUGGCUUCGGCUACCACUUACAGAUGGACCCGCGGCGCAUUAGCUAGUUGGUGAGGUAAUGGCUCACCAAGGCAACGAUGCGUAGCCGACCUGAGAGGGUGAUCGGCCACACUGGGACUGAGACACGGCCCAGACUCCUACGGGAGGCAGCAGUAGGGAAUCUUCCGCAAUGGACGAAAGUCUGACGGAGCAACGCCGCGUGAGUGAUGAAGGUUUUCGGAUCGUAAAGCUCUGUUGUUAGGGAAGAACAAGUACCGUUCGAAUAGGGCGGUACCUUGACGGUACCUAACCAGAAAGCCACGGCUAACUACGUGCCAGCAGCCGCGGUAAUACGUAGGUGGCAAGCGUUGUCCGGAAUUAUUGGGCGUAAAGGGCUCGCAGGCGGUUCCUUAAGUCUGAUGUGAAAGCCCCCGGCUCAACCGGGGAGGGUCAUUGGAAACUGGGGAACUUGAGUGCAGAAGAGGAGAGUGGAAUUCCACGUGUAGCGGUGAAAUGCGUAGAGAUGUGGAGGAACACCAGUGGCGAAGGCGACUCUCUGGUCUGUAACUGACGCUGAGGAGCGAAAGCGUGGGGAGCGAACAGGAUUAGAUACCCUGGUAGUCCACGCCGUAAACGAUGAGUGCUAAGUGUUAG
This 774-nucleotide ribosomal RNA is filed under the name Bacillus halotolerans. Its description in RNAcentral is "bacterial SSU rRNA". It matches the Rfam family "Bacterial small subunit ribosomal RNA", at positions 69 to 826 of the family's 1533-position model. The record is from RNAcentral. Lineage: Bacteria; Bacillati; Bacillota; Bacilli; Caryophanales; Bacillaceae.